RNAcentral lists this ribosomal RNA (381 nucleotides) under uncultured eukaryote. RNAcentral describes it as "SSU rRNA". It matches the Rfam family "Eukaryotic small subunit ribosomal RNA", at positions 587 to 972 of the family's 1831-position model. The record is from RNAcentral.
AGCUCCAAUAGCGUAUAUUAAAGUUGUUGCGGUUAAAAAGCUCGUAGUUGGAUUUCUGUUGAGGUUGGGUGGUCCCUUCUCCGAAGGCGUAUUUGCUUCGAUCUCGGCAUCCUUCUGAAAGACUGUGCUGCCCUUCAUUGAGUGGUCAGGAUUUCAGGACUUUUACUUUGAGGAAAUUAGAGUGUUUACGGCAGGCAGGCGCCUUGAAUAUAUUAGCAUGGAAUAAUGAUAUAAGACCUUGGUUUUAUUUUGUUGGUUUCUAAAGCUAAGGUAAUGAUUAACAGGGAUAUUUGGGGGUAUUUGUAUUACACGGUCAGAGGUGGAAUUCUUGGAUUCGUGUACGACAAACUACUGCGAAAGCAUUUACCAAGGAUGUUUUCA